Molecule: long non-coding RNA, 222 nt
Filed under: Ananas comosus (pineapple)
Lineage: Eukaryota; Viridiplantae; Streptophyta; Magnoliopsida; Poales; Bromeliaceae
Description: long non-coding RNA (ACOM_LNC024173)
Source: RNAcentral
UCUAUUUGACUUGUAAGAGAAAGUAUCUUGAUUGGGUAUCUUGAUAACUCUAGAAAGUGGAGUUAAAUUGAAGUGUAUAGCUCCUAACUUCGCGGAGGGUUACGUUGGCGGCCGACAACGUAACAUCGGGAGUUAGUAGUGAAGCACACUUCAUUACUUUCGCAUGAUUUGGGGUAUUAUCUGCUUGAGCGGAGAUACGAUAGCGUGGGUUACUAACUUACG